UACGUAGGGUGCAAGCGUUGUCCGGAAUUAUUGGGCGUAAAGAGCUCGUAGGCGGUUCGUCGCGUCGGCUGUGAAAUCCCGAGGCUCAACCUCGGGUCUGCAGUCGAUACGGGCGGACUGGAGUUCGGCAGGGGAGACUGGAAUUCCUGGUGUAGCGGUGAAAUGCGCAGAUAUCAGGAGAAACACCGGUGGCGAAGGCGGGUCUCUGGGCCACUACUGACGCUGAGAAGCGAAAGCAUGGGGAGCGAACAGG
RNAcentral lists this ribosomal RNA (253 nucleotides) under uncultured bacterium. RNAcentral describes it as "partial 16S ribosomal RNA". It matches the Rfam family "Bacterial small subunit ribosomal RNA", at positions 524 to 776 of the family's 1533-position model. The record is from RNAcentral.